UACGGGGGGGGCAAGCGUUGUUCGGAAUUACUGGGCGUAAAGGGCUCGUAGGUGGCCAACUAAGUCAGACGUGAAAUCCCUCAGCUUAACUGGGGAACUGCGUCUGAUACUGGAUGGCUUGAGUUUGGGAGAGGGAUGCGGAAUUCCAGGUGUAGCGGUGAAAUGCGCAGAUAUCAGGAGGAACACCGGUGGCGAAGGCGGGUCUCUGGGCCGUAACUGACGCUGAGGAGCGAAAGCGUGGGGAGCGAACAGG
RNAcentral lists this ribosomal RNA (253 nucleotides) under uncultured bacterium. RNAcentral's name for it is "partial 16S ribosomal RNA". It matches the Rfam family "Bacterial small subunit ribosomal RNA", at positions 524 to 776 of the family's 1533-position model. The record is from RNAcentral.